RNAcentral lists this ribosomal RNA (393 nucleotides) under Triticum aestivum (bread wheat). Its description in RNAcentral is "partial small subunit ribosomal RNA". The record is from RNAcentral. Lineage: Eukaryota; Viridiplantae; Streptophyta; Magnoliopsida; Poales; Poaceae.
AUGGCUGCACGGGCUGGUCGGGUAGACCAUGUCGCUGAUGCAUUUAGUACUGAUCUGCGAGCUAUGGAGAAGGCAAUGGACCUUGCGGCUGAGCUAGGUGUGGUGCGUCUUAUGAUCGAAACGGAUACGCUCCUGGUUGUGCAAGCCCUUAACAGACGUGCUCCAGAUUGUUCAAAAGAGGCCCAUGUGAUUGAAGAUGUCAAAGUACAAGCCAGCUUAUGGUUCUCUUCUUGUGUGUUUGUCCACUGUAAGCGGGAGGCUAAUAUGCCUGCCCACCACCUAGCUAAGUUAGGCUUGGCUCUCCCUGUUGGAAAAGUCCUUGUAGCCGAUUAUGUGGUUCCAGCCAUUGUUGCUGAGUCUGUAAUGGGCGAUGUAGCCCAGACUAUUGAGUAA